AUAUCAAUAAGCGGAGGAAAAGAAACUAACAAGGAUUCCCCUAGUAACGGCGAGUGAAGAGGGAAAAGCUCAAAUUUUGAAUCUGGUGUCUUUGGCGCCCGAGUUGUAAUCUAGAGAAGUGUUUUCUGCCUCGGACCACACAUAAAUUCCCUGGAAUGGGGUGUCAUAGAGGGUGAGAAUCCCGUUUGUGGUGUGGACUACCUUGGCUCUGUGAUACACUCUCAACGAGUCGAGUUGUUUGGGAAUGCAGCUCAAAAUGGGUGGUAAAUUCCAUCUAAAGCUAAAUAUUGGCGAGAGACCGAUAGCGAACAAGUACCGUGAGGGAAAGAUGAAAAGCACUUUGGAAAGAGAGUGAAACAGUACGUGAAAUUGUUGAAAGGGAAGCGUUUGAAGUCAGUCACAUCGGUCGGAAUUCAGCCUGGCUUUGCCUGGUGUAUUUUCUGGCAGAUGGGUCAGCGUCAAUUUUGACUGAGGGAAAAAGACUUGAGGAAUGUGGCUGUCUUCGGGCAGUGUUAUAGCCUCUUAUCACAUACGUCGGCUGGGAUCGAGGAACUCAGCAUGCCUUUAUGGUCGGGGUUCGCCCACGUAACAUGCUUAGGAUGUUGGCAUAAUGGCUUUAAGCGA
Molecule: ribosomal RNA, 624 nt
Filed under: uncultured fungus
Lineage: Eukaryota; Fungi
Description: eukaryotic LSU rRNA
Rfam family: Eukaryotic large subunit ribosomal RNA
Source: RNAcentral